CGUAGGUGGCGCGGUAAGUCGGGUGUGAAAUUUCGGAGCUUAACUCCGAAACUGCAUUCGAUACUGCCGUGCUUGAGGACUGGAGAGGAGACUGGAAUUUACGGUGUAGCAGUGAAAUGCGUAGAGAUCGUAAGGAAGACCAGUGGCGAAGGCGGGUCUCUGGACAGUUCCUGACACUGAGGCACGAAGGCCAGGGGAGCAAACG
Molecule: ribosomal RNA, 205 nt
Filed under: uncultured bacterium
Lineage: Bacteria
Description: partial 16S ribosomal RNA
Rfam family: Bacterial small subunit ribosomal RNA
Source: RNAcentral